Molecule: transfer RNA, 79 nt
Filed under: Gammaproteobacteria bacterium
Lineage: Bacteria; Pseudomonadati; Pseudomonadota; Gammaproteobacteria
Description: tRNA-Val
Source: RNAcentral
GGGUUUUAGGACUGCUAGCUGGAAGGCCUCUGCCUUCACACGGCAGGGGUCGCUGGUUCAAAUCCAGCCGCACCCGCCA